GGAUGAGGGAUGGGACGCAUCCCCGGGGGAUGCUCCUCCAAAGCUUUUAUCGGGCGAGCGCAGUGGCUCACGCCUGUAAUUCCUGCACUUUGGGAGGCUAAGGGUCUCACUCUAUUGUCUAGGCUCGAAUGCAGUGACGUGAUCAUGGAUCACUGCAGUCCUCAACUUACUGGGCUCAGGAUGAAAGGCUUCCUAGCACAAACACCACCCCUGGAGUUCCCGGUACAUCAAUACCAGCCUGGGGAUCACGUUCUCAUCAAGAGUUGGAAGAGGGAAAGCUUGAACCAGCUUAGGAGGACCUCAUCUGGUACUCUUGAUGAAUGAAACAGCAAUCUGAAUGGCUGAAAAAGGAUGGACCCAGCACUCCAGAGUCUCACACUGUCACCAGGCUGGAGUGCCGUGGCGCAAUAUCAGCUCACUGUAACCUCCACCUCCCAGGUUGAAGUGAUUCUCCCAUCUCAGCCCCCAAGUAGCUGGGACUACAGGUGAGUGCCACCACACCCAGCUAAUUUUUGUAUUUUUAGUAGAGAUGGGGGUUCACCAUGUUGCCCAAAAUGGUCUCAAUCUCUUGGCCUCGUGAUCCAACCAUCUCAGCCUCCCAAAGUGCUGGGUUUAAAGGCAUGAGCCACUGUGCCUGGCCCAGAAUUCUUUACUGCUAACACGAGUGGGCCUGGUUCUGGAGGAUUUCCCAGUGGGUCCUGAAGAACCACAGUUUAUUGGCUUGUGGGCAAAGGGGUAUGUGUAUCAGUUGGCCUUUACUGUGUAAUAAACAGCCACAAAAAUUA
This is a long non-coding RNA of Homo sapiens (human), 785 nucleotides long. Ensembl annotates it as ZNF561 antisense RNA 1 (head to head). Its record names the gene ZNF561-AS1. NCBI's taxonomy places the organism in Eukaryota, Metazoa, Chordata, Mammalia, Primates, Hominidae. The record is from Ensembl.